RNAcentral lists this ribosomal RNA (276 nucleotides) under uncultured Bacteroides sp. RNAcentral describes it as "partial 16S ribosomal RNA". It matches the Rfam family "Bacterial small subunit ribosomal RNA", at positions 68 to 339 of the family's 1533-position model. The record is from RNAcentral. Lineage: Bacteria; Pseudomonadati; Bacteroidota; Bacteroidia; Bacteroidales; Bacteroidaceae.
AGCAUGGUCUUAGCUUGCUAAGUUUGAUGGCGACCGGCGCACGGGUGAGUAACACGUAUCCAACCUGCCGAUGACUCGGGGAUAGCCUUUCGAAAGAAAGAUUAAUGCCCGAUGGUUUCAAGGGAUUGCAUGGUAUCUUGAAUAAAGAUUCAUCGGUAUGCGAUGGGGAUGCGUUCCAUUAGAUAGUAGGCGGGGUAACGGCCCACCUAGUCUUCGAUGGAUAGGGGUUCUGAGAGGAAGGUCCCCACAUUGGGACUGAGACACGGCCCAAACUCC